Molecule: ribosomal RNA, 429 nt
Filed under: Bacillota bacterium
Lineage: Bacteria; Bacillati; Bacillota
Description: Firmicutes bacterium partial 16S ribosomal RNA
Rfam family: Bacterial small subunit ribosomal RNA
Source: RNAcentral
UAGGGAAUCUUCCACAAUGGACGCAAGUCUGAUGGAGCAACGCCGCGUGAGUGAAGAAGGUUUUCGGAUCGUAAAGCUCUGUUGUUGGUGAAGAAGGAUAGAGGCAGUAACUGGUCUUUAUUUGACGGUAAUCAACCAGAAAGUCACGGCUAACUACGUGCCAGCAGCCGCGGUAAUACGUAGGUGGCAAGCGUUGUCCGGAUUUAUUGGGCGUAAAGCGAGCGCAGGCGGAAUGAUAAGUCUGAUGUGAAAGCCCACGGCUCAACCGUGGAACUGCAUCGGAAACUGUCAUUCUUGAGUGCAGAAGAGGAGAGUGGAAUUCCAUGUGUAGCGGUGGAAUGCGUUGAUAUAUGGAAGAACACCAGUGGCGAAGGCGGCUCUCUGGUCUGCAACUGACGCUGAGGCUCGAAAGCAUUGGUAGCGAACAGG